Molecule: ribosomal RNA, 252 nt
Filed under: Bartonella sp. Ki1
Lineage: Bacteria; Pseudomonadati; Pseudomonadota; Alphaproteobacteria; Hyphomicrobiales; Bartonellaceae
Description: partial 16S ribosomal RNA
Rfam family: Bacterial small subunit ribosomal RNA
Source: RNAcentral
UCAGCUCGUGUCGUGAGAUGUUGGGUUAAGUCCCGCAACGAGCGCAACCCUCGCCCUUAGUUGCCAGCAUUCAGUUGGGCACUCUAGGGGGACUGCCGGUGAUAAGCCGAGAGGAAGGUGGGGAUGACGUCAAGUCCUCAUGGCCCUUACGGGCUGGGCUACACACGUGCUACAAUGGUGGUGACAAUGGGCAGCGAAACCGCAAGGUGGAGCUAAUCUCCAAAAGCCAUCUCAGUUCGGAUUGCACUCUGA